AUUCGCCCUUAGAGUUUGAUCCUGGCUCAGGACGAACGCUGGCGGCGCGCCUAACACAUGCAAGUCGAACGGGACUAUGCUGGAAGAAGUUUUCGGAUGGAUUUUGGUAUAGUUUAGUGGCGGACGGGUGAGUAACACGUGAGCAACCUGCCUUCGAGAGGGGAAUAACGGCUGGAAACGGUCGCUAAUACCGCAUAAUAUACAGGAGGGACAUCCCUUUUGUAUCAAAGAUUUAUCGCUCGAAGAUGGGCUCGCGUCCGAUUAGGUAGUUGGUGAGGUAACGGCCCACCAAGCCGACGAUCGGUAGCCGGACUGAGAGGUUGAACGGCCACAUUGGGACUGAGACACGGCCCAAACUCCUACGGGAGGCAGCAGUGGGGGAUAUUGCACAAUGGGGGAAACCCUGAUGCAGCGACGCCGCGUGAGUGAAGAAGUAUUUCGGUAUGUAAAGCUCUAUCAGCAGGGAAGAAAAAAGACGGUACCUGAUUAAGAAGCCCCGGCUAACUACGUGCCAGCAGCCGCGGUAAUACGUAGGGGGCAAGCGUUAUCCGGAUUUACUGGGUGUAAAGGGAGCGUAGACGGCAGUGCAAGUCUGGAGUGAAAGGCGGGGGCUCAACCCCCGGACUGCUCUGGAAACUGUACAGCUGGAGUGCAGGAGAGGUAAGUGGAAUUCCUAGUGUAGCGGUGAAAUGCGUAGAUAUUAGGAGGAACACCAGUGGCGAAGGCGGCUUACUGGACUGUAACUGACGUUGAGGCUCGAAAGC
This 764-nucleotide ribosomal RNA is filed under the name uncultured bacterium. Its description in RNAcentral is "bacterial SSU rRNA". It matches the Rfam family "Bacterial small subunit ribosomal RNA", at positions 1 to 760 of the family's 1533-position model. The record is from RNAcentral.